AGAGCGAACGCUGGCGGCAGGCUUAACACAUGCAAGUCGAGCGGGCGUAGCAAUACGUCAGCGGCAGACGGGUGAGUAACGCGUGGGAACAUACCUUUUGGUUCGGAACAACCCAGGGAAACUUGGGCUAAUACCGGAUAAGCCCUUACGGGGAAAGAUUUAUCGCCGAAAGAUUGGCCCGCGUCUGAUUAGCUAGUUGGUGAGGUAACGGCUCACCAAGGCGACGAUCAGUAGCUGGUCUGAGAGGAUGAUCAGCCACAUUGGGACUGAGACACGGCCCAAACUCCUACGGGAGGCAGCAGUGGGGAAUAUUGGACAAUGGGCGCAAGCCUGAUCCAGCCAUGCCGCGUGAGUGAUGAAGGCCCUAGGGUUGUAAAGCUCUUUUGUGCGGGAAGAUAACGACGGUACCGCAAGAAUAAGCCCCGGCUAACUUCGCGCCAGCAGCCGC
Molecule: ribosomal RNA, 448 nt
Filed under: uncultured bacterium
Lineage: Bacteria
Description: SSU rRNA
Rfam family: Bacterial small subunit ribosomal RNA
Source: RNAcentral